GAUGAACGCUGGCGGCGUGCCUAAUACAUGCAAGUCGAGCGAACAGAUGAGGAGCUUGCUCAUCUGACGUUAGCGGCGGACGGGUGAGUAACACGUGGAUAACCUACCUAUAAGACUGGGAUAACUUCGGGAAACCGGAGCUAAUACCGGAUAAUAUAUUGAACCGCAUGGUUCAAUAGUGAAAGACGGUUUUGCUGUCACUUAUAGAUGGAUCCGCGCCGCAUUAGCUAGUUGGUAAGGUAACGGCUUACCAAGGCAACGAUGCGUAGCCGACCUGAGAGGGUGAUCGGCCACACUGGAACUGAGACACGGUCCAGACCCCUACGGGAGGCAGCAGUAGGGAAUCUUCCGCAAUGGGCGAAAGCCUGACGGAGCAACGCCGCGUGAGUGAUGAAGGUCUUCGGAUCGUAAAACUCUGUUAUUAGGGAAGAACAAAUGUGUAAGUAACUAUGCACGUCUUGACGGUACCUAAUCAGAAAGCCACGGCUAACUACGUG
RNAcentral lists this ribosomal RNA (497 nucleotides) under uncultured bacterium. RNAcentral describes it as "partial 16S ribosomal RNA". It matches the Rfam family "Bacterial small subunit ribosomal RNA", at positions 28 to 507 of the family's 1533-position model. The record is from RNAcentral.